AAGCGUUGUUCGGAUUUAUUGGGCGUAAAGCGCGUGUAGGCGGUUUUUUAAGUCUGAUGUGAAAGCCCCGGGCUCAACCCAGGAAGUGCAUUGGAAACUGGGAGACUUGAAUACGGGAGAGGGUAGUGGAAUUCCUAGUGUAGGAGUGAAAUCCGUAGAUAUUAGGAGGAACACCGGUGGCGAAGGCGGCUACCUGGACCGACAUUGACGCUGAGACGCGAAAGCGUGGGGAGCAAACAGGAUUAGAUACCCUGGUAGUCCACGCCGUAAACGAUGAG
Molecule: ribosomal RNA, 278 nt
Filed under: uncultured bacterium
Lineage: Bacteria
Description: partial 16S ribosomal RNA
Rfam family: Bacterial small subunit ribosomal RNA
Source: RNAcentral